Molecule: non-coding RNA, 649 nt
Organism: Cinara cedri
Lineage: Eukaryota; Metazoa; Arthropoda; Insecta; Hemiptera; Aphididae
Source: the annotation of a GenBank genome assembly
CGCUCCACUCAGGAUUUAAAAUCCAAUAGGUAAACGUGUAAAAAAAAAAUUACCUCCCUCUCUCGUAUAAACAGCAUACUAUCGAAACGGAUUAAACGGAUAGUAUUAUAUUAUACUUGCACGGCGUUGCACGCGUUAUUUAAGCGGACUCGUUAACCGGCGCGACAGAUUGUGCGAUUACAAAAUAGUGACAAGGUCUCUUUUUUUUUUUAUUAUUAUUAUUAUUAUUAUUACUAGUCUCUUUUUUUCUCUAUUUUUUCUUUUUUUUUUUUUUAACCUAUUAACCGGCACUGCAUUGUCGUCGACGCACGUUUUAAUGGGUUUUUUUUUUUUUUUUUUUCCCCCGGGUGACCUCUUUUCGCAUCCAGUGUACGUAUACGCGAAACUGUAUACGGCUCUCUUUUAAACGGCCGACAUUGUUCGCCGUAAGACUUUUCUAUAAAUAUGGUUUGAAAUUAAAUUAUUAUUUUCAAUUUCAGAAAAUACGCGUAUUCUAACGAUUUUAUUUUUAUUUUUCCUCCUCCCUCUCUAAUAGCUGUGCUACUACUCAUCGGGACUGCGAGGAUGCAUUUUUUUCCGGUGUCGCUAUAUUAGAGUCCAGAAGAUCAGAAUAAUGGUAGCAAUCGUUUCUGUCGCUGACCUUCUGAAA